Molecule: long non-coding RNA, 1556 nt
Organism: Ictalurus punctatus (channel catfish)
Lineage: Eukaryota; Metazoa; Chordata; Actinopteri; Siluriformes; Ictaluridae
Exons: 2
Source: RefSeq, a predicted model, not a curated record
UCCCCUCUCUAUCCAGCCCUGGAAUCUAAUCUAUCUAUCUUUUAUCUAAUCCUUUUCCAGCGGUAUUAGGGGUCCCCACCAAUGCAGCCGCCACUAGACUGCUAGUCUAGUCUAGUAGCCGGUAUCUGGGGUCUGAGGCCUCAUUUUCCACCUGCUUUCUAUCCCAGCCCUGGAGUAUUUCUCUAUUUCUCUUUUUUCUACCUUUUUUCCCUUCCUCCAGCGGUAUUGCAGGACUUUCACUCACACAACACAUAUACCAUUUCUUUAUUAUAAUUAUAAAAAGUACAUUCUACAAUCUAUACUUCUCUUACCUCUUCUCACUCACUCCAGGUUCUUUUGGAGACCCACUUAGUCUUUCUUCCCACCCCGGGGCUUCUCCAUCGUAACAACAGACCACUAAAACAGAGCUUUGAAAUAACAGGCGUCUGCAAUGCCUUUUCCUAUACGGCCUGUCUGUUGCUUAGAGAGCGAAGUCCCACGGGAGAGAUUCCAGACAUAUAGAUCUUAGCCCAGUCCCAUCUGGGGUGCCAAAUGUUGGCUCGAAUUUAGCCUAUUACCCAAAAACUUUUAAAACUCAACUUAGAAGCCAAUACUCACAUCUACCUCUGAGCCCAGUUGGAGAUAGAAAAAACACACCAGCCGUGAGUGAGAAGAAGCAAGGGUCCAGCUUUAUUGUUCCAUUCCACCACACGAGAUCCACACCGAUGAGAAUUCUCAAAAGUGAUCCCCAAUACCCUGAGCUUAAGCUCCAGUAUUUAUACUGUAUUUACACACUAGAUAACCCAUAGGUUUCCAGAAAAGGCCUAUUUCACUUACCCAUAGAAUUGAAACCAGGGGUUUUACUUUACACAUAAAAUCAGAACCCAGGCAUUUCCAACAACCCAGGAAACAAAAACCCAGUGUUUCUAUUUACCUAGGUUUUCAAAAACCAGGAUUCUCUUUUACCUAGGUUUUCAAAAACCAGGAUUCUCUUUUACCUAGGUUUUCAAAAACCAAGAUUCCCAUUUCCCUAGGUUUUCAAAAACCAAGAUUCUCAUUUCCCUAGGUUAAAAAAAUGACGUAAGCAAGACGGGGAGGGACAACCGGGAGGGACCUUGGUCUUAUCGUUAUCUCGAGGGGGGGGGCAGCCACCCUUAUAACUGGCUUUCUUCAUGGUUCUCUAAAAAUUAAGGCUUUCCUUGCGAGACGAGAAUCUUCACCAUCUGAAUCAUGAGUGCCGGUGCCCGUCGUCAGUCCCCUCUCUCUCCGUUACUGGACCUGGAUCAGGGUUUGGACCUGGAUCUGGACACUCAUUACCAGCUUGUGCAUCUCACUGCUGAUAUCAUGAUGCUACUUAACUAUCUUCGCAGCACCCCCCCAAGAAUGGAGAUCCGGGGUUCCCCCCUCUUCUUCGGUACAGAAUCUGCCCCACGAACGUGCGUGUUGACGCUUCUACACAGUCAGACCCAGAACCCCCCUCCAGCUUCCAAUCCGAGGAUGAUGAUGUUGUCUUCUCCGAUCCGGGCCCCGACCAUCCGUCCCUCUUCUCACCCACCAGUCCGCCCGACUCUCAGUGG